This is a long non-coding RNA of Zingiber officinale, 364 nucleotides long. RefSeq lists it as uncharacterized. The record is from RefSeq and is a predicted model, not a curated record. Lineage: Eukaryota; Viridiplantae; Streptophyta; Magnoliopsida; Zingiberales; Zingiberaceae. The transcript is spliced from 2 exons.
GCCGCACUUCUUCCUGUGAUUCAAGCGCCUCUGGCAACUCCUCCACCUCCACGCCUCCAUCUGCCUCCAGCCGGAACCCAGCCUCGCCCCCCUCUGCUCGUUGAGGCCGUCGGGAGAUUCCAGUCGCUAGCCUCUUUUGUCGCGAGGAUUUUUGGCUGUAGACUUUCGUAUUCGAUUUUAUGUCUUUAGGCACUUAUGAUGUGGGUUCUUGUAUUGUGGACUUUAUAUCGACUAUUUGGGUUUGCUACUUUUGUUUUUCCGCUGCAGGUGUUUUCAUUACUUCGUGGAUUUUAUUUCUUCGUUGUAGUAGAGUAGGAUUUAUAUAUAUCUACGAUGAUUUCUUUAUCGUCUUUUCUUUUAGUUA